AGGGAAUCUUCCGCAAUGGACGAAAGUCUGACGGAGCAACGCCGCGUGAGUGAUGAAGGUUUUCGGAUCGUAAAGCUCUGUUGCCAGGGAAGAACGUCCGUUAGAGUAACUGCUAACGGAGUGACGGUACCUGAGAAGAAAGCCACGGCUAACUACGUGCCAGCAGCCGCGGUAAUACGUAGGUGGCAAGCGUUGUCCGGAAUUAUUGGGCGUAAAGCGCGCGCAGGCGGCUGUUUAAGUCUGGUGUUUAAUCCUGGGGCUCAACCCCGGGUCGCACUGGAAACUGGGCAGCUUGAGUGCAGAAGAGGAGAGUGGAAUUCCACGUGUAGCGGUGAAAUGCGUAGAGAUGUGGAGGAACACCAGUGGCGAAGGCGACCCUCUGGGCUGUAACUGACGCUGAGGCGCGAAAGCGUGGGGAGCAAAC
RNAcentral lists this ribosomal RNA (424 nucleotides) under uncultured bacterium. RNAcentral's name for it is "bacterial SSU rRNA". It matches the Rfam family "Bacterial small subunit ribosomal RNA", at positions 356 to 773 of the family's 1533-position model. The record is from RNAcentral.